This 427-nucleotide ribosomal RNA is filed under the name uncultured bacterium. Its description in RNAcentral is "bacterial SSU rRNA". It matches the Rfam family "Bacterial small subunit ribosomal RNA", at positions 355 to 774 of the family's 1533-position model. The record is from RNAcentral.
UGGGGAAUAUUGCACAAUGGGGGAAACCCUGAUGCAGCCAUGCCGCGUGUGUGAAGAAGGCCUUCGGGUUGUAAAGCACUUUCAGCGAGGAGGAAAGGGGUGAUGCUAAUACCAUCAUCCUGUGACGUUACUCGCAGAAGAAGCACCGGCUAACUCCGUGCCAGCAGCCGCGGUAAUACGGAGGGUGCAAGCGUUAAUCGGAAUAACUGGGCGUAAAGCGCACGCAGGCGGUCGGAUAAGUCAGAUGUGAAAGCCCCGGGCUCAACCUGGGAACUGCAUUUGAAACUGUUCGACUAGAGUCUUGUAGAGGGGGGUAGAAUUCCAGGUGUAGCGGUGAAAUGCGUAGAGAUCUGGAGGAAUACCGGUGGCGAAGGCGGCCCCCUGGACAAAGACUGACGCUCAGGUGCGAAAGCGUGGGGAGCAAACA